RNAcentral lists this unclassified non-coding RNA (159 nucleotides) under soil metagenome. RNAcentral describes it as "partial internal transcribed spacer 1". The record is from RNAcentral.
CAGAGUUGCAAGACUCCCUAAACCAUUGUGAACCUACCUUCUACCGUUGCUUCGGCGGGCGGGCCCAGCGCCCCCCGGCCCCCCGCGGGCGCCCGCCGGAGGAUACCCAAACUCUUUGACAUUAGUGGCCUCUCUGAGUAUUCUUUACUGAAUAAGUCA